CAGCCGCCGCGGUAAUACGAAGGGGGCUAGCGUUGUUCGGAUUAACUGGGCGUAAAGGGCGCGUAGGCGGAUCUUUAAGUCAGGGGUGAAAUCCCGGGGCUCAACCUCGGAACUGCCUUUGAUACUGGGUGUCUCGAGUCCGGAAGAGGUAAGUGGAACUGCGAGUGUAGAGGUGAAAUUCGUAGAUAUUCGCAAGAACACCAGUGGCGAAGGCGGCUUACUGGUCCGGUACUGACGCUGAGGUGCGAAAGCGUGGGGAGCAAACAGGAUUAGAUACCCCCGUAGUCCCUGUCUCUUAUAC
RNAcentral lists this ribosomal RNA (301 nucleotides) under uncultured bacterium. RNAcentral's name for it is "partial 16S ribosomal RNA". It matches the Rfam family "Bacterial small subunit ribosomal RNA", at positions 509 to 807 of the family's 1533-position model. The record is from RNAcentral.